GCGGCCGUGGUGGAACCGGUAGACACGCAGCUUUGAGGGGGCUGUGGAAGCAAUUCCGUGUGCGUUCAAGUCGCAUCGGCCGCACCA
Molecule: transfer RNA, 87 nt
Filed under: Chlamydia trachomatis
Lineage: Bacteria; Pseudomonadati; Chlamydiota; Chlamydiia; Chlamydiales; Chlamydiaceae
Also listed under: 2 other names
Description: tRNA-Leu(gag)
Source: RNAcentral